This is a long non-coding RNA of Pteropus alecto (black flying fox), 684 nucleotides long. RefSeq lists it as uncharacterized. NCBI's taxonomy places the organism in Eukaryota, Metazoa, Chordata, Mammalia, Chiroptera, Pteropodidae. The transcript has 2 exons. The record is from RefSeq and is a predicted model, not a curated record.
GCGCGUUUCGGCCACGCGCGGGCGCGGAGUUGGCGUGGGCGUCGGCAGUUUGUGGAAAGUACGUAGCAGCGUGUAUGGCCCGCAGUGCUGGAAGGCGUCUGGCCGGAUGGAAGCCUCGUUAUGCUGAACUCUUACGGAUUCUAAAGGCGAUUGGCACCGAGACGUGAAAAGCGGCUUCUCUUUCUGCUUAGGAGUUGCUGCAGGCAGGACUCACUACUGUGCCUCCUGUCUUUCGCCCAGGGAGUGGCCUCUGCUCCCUUCCACAAAGAUUUUUGGAAUAAGAUACUUCUGUAUACCUAGGCGCAUGGGAAGGAAUUGAAGGCAAAAGCGGUCAUUUUAAGUUGAAAAUCUCCAAGUAAGCAAUAUUAGACAACAUAACGGAGCCCUUAAUUUUCGCAUACCCUCCUGUGACCAUCCAAAGAGCGUCAUAUUUAAGAAAAUCUUGAGCACGCACUGGUCUGACGUUCACUGACCCUGAGCAGCGGUGGCUGGUGAGAGCACAGUGACCAGACACAGCAACCGCACAGCAAGUGCGUGGAUUCCGUCUCUCUGUGUGAAAACUUAGUUUUCAUUUGAGUUUCAAAAACACUUAUCAACUGCAGUUUGUAAACUUGUUUAGAAAGUACAAAUAUUGGCUCAAACAUAAAAUAUUUUUCUGAAUUUGAAUAAAAACUUGAAACUGAA